Molecule: ribosomal RNA, 405 nt
Filed under: uncultured bacterium
Lineage: Bacteria
Description: partial 16S ribosomal RNA
Rfam family: Bacterial small subunit ribosomal RNA
Source: RNAcentral
AUUGAACGCUGGCGGCAUGCCUUACACAUGCAAGUCGAACGAGUGGCGGACGGGUGAGUAAUGUAUCGGAACGUGCCCAGUGGCGGGGGAUAACUACUCGAAACAGUGGCUAAUACCGCAUACUCUUGGAGCGGCCGAUAUGGGAUUAGCUAGUUGGUGGGGUAAAGGCUCACCAAGGCCACGAUCCGUAGCUGGUUUGAGAGGAGGACCAGCCACACUGGGACUGAGACACGGCCCAGACUCCUACGGGAGGCAGCAGUGGGGAAUUUUGGACAAUGGGGGAAACCCUGAUGCAGCCAUCCCGCGUGUAUGAGAAGGCCUUCGGGUUGUAAAGUACUUUUGGCAGAGAAGCGUUACCUGCAGAAUAAGCACCGGCUAACUACGUGCCAGCAGCCGCGGUAAUUC